This is a long non-coding RNA of Hippocampus comes (tiger tail seahorse), 151 nucleotides long. RefSeq lists it as uncharacterized. NCBI's taxonomy places the organism in Eukaryota, Metazoa, Chordata, Actinopteri, Syngnathiformes, Syngnathidae. The record is from RefSeq and is a predicted model, not a curated record. The transcript is spliced from 2 exons.
CGUGUUUGACGGAACCUGCGAUAGAAUCCGCUCGGGAACAUUUCCACACAGGAAGAUCCACGCAGGCAGUCGGUUUAUUUUCGGUGCAACUGCCUCGGACAUUAACCGCCCCGCCUCCACAGUCACAUACUGUAAGAACUAAGAAAAAAAA